GAGUUACUGGGCGUAAAGGGUGUGUAGGCGGCCUUCUAAGUUUGGUGUGAAAUCUCCCGGCUCAACCGGGAGGGUGCGCCGAAGACUGGGGGGCUAGAGGAUGGGAUGGGAAAGUGGAAUUCCUGGUGUAGCGGUGAAAUGCGUAGAUAUCAGGAGGAACACCUGCGGUGUAGACGGCUUUCUGGACCAACCCUGACGCUGAGACACGAAAGCGUGGGUAGCAAACAGGAUUAGAUACCCUGGUAGUCCACGCCCUAAACGAUGCAUAUUUGGUGUGGGUCAUUCAUUUGGUCCGUGCCGGAGCUAACGCGUUAAAUAUGCCGCCUGGGGAGUACAGUCGCAAGGCUGAAACUCAAAGGAAUUGACGGGGGCCCGCACAAGCGGUGGAGCAUGUGGUUCAAUUCGACGCAACGCGAAGAACCUUACCUAGGCUCGAAAUGCUUUGGACAAUCUUUGGAAACAGAGACUUCCCGCAAGGGACCGGAGUAUAGGUGCUGCAUGGCU
This 504-nucleotide ribosomal RNA is filed under the name uncultured Acidobacteriota bacterium. RNAcentral describes it as "bacterial SSU rRNA". It matches the Rfam family "Bacterial small subunit ribosomal RNA", at positions 548 to 1050 of the family's 1533-position model. Lineage: Bacteria; Pseudomonadati; Acidobacteriota. The record is from RNAcentral.